GUGCACUAUAUAGGGAAUAGGGCUCUGGUCUAUAGUAGUGCACUAUAUAGGGAAUAGGGCUCUGGUCUAAAGUAGUGCACUAUAUAGGGAAUAGGGCUCUGGUCUAAAGUAUACCACUAUAUAGGGAAUAGGGCUCUGGUCUAUAGUAGUACCACUAUAUAGGGAAUAGGGCUCUGGUCUAUAGUAGUACCACUAUAUAUAGGGGAAAUAUUUCCCUUUGGGACAUUUAAUAAUGUGGCUGAUCUGGUAGCCAUGGAAAACAUCUGAUAUGACCUACCGACAUUCUAUUAGACAGACUUCAUCUCAUUAUUACCCUUCUCUCUAGUCUGGUUGGCUCUCAUUCUGUCGUCCUAGAGAUGGUUAUCAUUUACAGCAGGGUUGGGGUCCUCUUCAGGCCGUGGAAUAAUAUCUGUACCUUCUGUCUCUGAGGAGGACCUCUCCUGUGACGUCUUUAUGAAGCCAGAAGUUUCUUCCAAAAGCACUCAUAGAAAACUAAGAAUGAAAUGAGUAAGGAUGAAAUUGAGCCCAACCCUGUUUCACAUUGAGGUGAUUAUCUCAGCAGGCUCAAGUCUAGUUCAGUACAACAUGGUAUAGUAGUAACACCCUUUGUUCAUUCAUCUCAACCAGGAAUGUAUCACUCUGACCCCAACUGUAUGCAAGUUAUCUGUCUGUGUACAUAAACCAACCAGCUCUAUUCAUCACCUUCAAGCUUAAUGAACUGUGUGUGUGUGUGUGUGUGUGUGUGUGUGUGUGUGUGUGUGUGUGUGUGUGUGUGUGUGUGUGUGUGUUUGUUUGCGUGCGUGC
Molecule: long non-coding RNA, 804 nt
Organism: Oncorhynchus tshawytscha (Chinook salmon)
Lineage: Eukaryota; Metazoa; Chordata; Actinopteri; Salmoniformes; Salmonidae
Source: Ensembl